UGGUGCAUGGUUGUCGUCAGCUCGUGUCGUGAGAUGUUGGGUUAAGUCCCGCAACGAGCGCAACCCUCGACCUUAGUUGCCAGCAUUCAGUUGGGCACUCUAAGGUGACUGCCGGCUAAAAAGUCGGAGGAAGGUGGGGAUGACGUCAAAUCAUCAUGCCCCUUAUGACCUGGGCUACACACGUGCUACAAUGGGCGGUACAAAGGGUCGCGAACCCGCGAGGGGGAGCCAAUCCCAAAAAGCCGCUCUCAGUUCGGAUUGCAGGCUGCAACUCGCCUGCAUGAAGCCGGAAUCGCUAGUAAUCGCGGAUCAGCAUGCCGCGGUGAAUACGUUCCCGGGCCUU
This 343-nucleotide ribosomal RNA is filed under the name uncultured Anoxybacillus sp. RNAcentral's name for it is "bacterial SSU rRNA". It matches the Rfam family "Bacterial small subunit ribosomal RNA", at positions 1039 to 1382 of the family's 1533-position model. The record is from RNAcentral. Lineage: Bacteria; Bacillati; Bacillota; Bacilli; Caryophanales; Anoxybacillaceae.